AAGGACUUAGGUUAAACCACCAAAACCAGGGGCCUUCAAAGCCCCAAACAGGAGAUAAAAACUCUUAGUCCUUG
Molecule: transfer RNA, 74 nt
Filed under: Feylinia polylepis
Lineage: Eukaryota; Metazoa; Chordata; Lepidosauria; Squamata; Scincidae
Description: tRNA-Trp
Source: RNAcentral